Long non-coding RNA from Magnolia sinica, 1067 nucleotides. RefSeq lists it as uncharacterized. The record is from RefSeq and is a predicted model, not a curated record. The transcript is spliced from 3 exons. Lineage: Eukaryota; Viridiplantae; Streptophyta; Magnoliopsida; Magnoliales; Magnoliaceae.
UUUGUAAAUUAUUUUUUUAUUGGGUCGAAAGCUUCUCAUAUAUAUAUUUUUUCUUUUUAAUAUCUUGGUUUUGUUCUCUAUAUCUUGAAAAUUUUCUUAGGAGAGAUCUGCUUGAUAUUAGAAUUUUUCUUUUUUAUAUUUAAGAAGAAGAAGAAGAAGAAGCUUUUUUUUGUUUGUUUUGUGGUGAAAGAAGAUAAAUAUUUUUUAAAAUAUAUUAUUAUUAUUAUUGUCGUUGUUGCUGUUAUUAUUAUUAUUUUAAUGUCUUGACAGAACAAGAAGGUUGUGUUUUUGUGGGUUUUUCAUGUCCUUGGAAUAUAGGUAGUUUUGAGUAAAAUCUUUGGGUCCUGAUUUUUGAAAUUUCUUUUGUUCUUUUCUUUUCUAUCUUUCGUGAUAGUCGGAUUUCUUUCUCUUUCUCUUUCUUCUACUUUUUACUUUUUCUUUCUUUUUUUUUUUUGUAGAUUUUAUUUGAAUUUGUCGAAUUUCUGGUAUUUUCAGCCAUCUGUUGGGCCAAUCUAUUCUUCAUCUUUUGAUGGGCCUUUUGUUUUCUUAAAUUUCUGGUAGUUGUAGCCAUUAGAUGGGCCAUCUUGUUCUUUAUCGUCCGUAUGGGCCCAUCGAUUUUGCAGGAGAGGACUUGUUUAUGGAGAGAAGGAGCUUCUAGGAUGUUCCCUUGCCGGAUCUAGAACUUGGAGUGCUGAAUUUGAACUGUAUUUUUCCCUUUGUUCUUCUGCUUUGUCCUGGCAUUGCCUGACAACGAGAGAGAGCACGCUUGUUGGCAUUCAAGUGAGCAUACAUGGCUGUUUACAUGCGUGCUGUCUCUCGUCGUCAUUCAAUUUUUUCAGCAAAGCAGUGGCAAAGCUGUUCGUUCUUCUUUCUUUUGCAUAUGUGCAUGAAAUGCCAACUAUUGGAGCAGUUCAUCAUUUGGGGGGCCUGCUUGAAGGAAUGAGACAGUUUUGGGUGCAUGGCCGUGGAUAGUUCAUGCAUUUGCAAUAUCCGAGCAAGAUAAUCUUUCACCCGGGGGUUUUUUGGCACCCCAUUGAGGUCAGUUUGUUUUGUUGCUUUGCCUAGUC